This 497-nucleotide ribosomal RNA is filed under the name uncultured bacterium. RNAcentral describes it as "partial 16S ribosomal RNA". It matches the Rfam family "Bacterial small subunit ribosomal RNA", at positions 28 to 507 of the family's 1533-position model. The record is from RNAcentral.
GAUGAACGCUGGCGGCGUGCCUAAUACAUGCAAGUCGAGCGAACAGACGAGGAGCUUGCUCCUCUGACGUUAGCGGCGGACGGGUGAGUAACACGUGGAUAACCUACCUAUAAGACUGGGAUAACUUCGGGAAACCGGAGCUAAUACCGGAUAAUAUAUUGAACCGCAUGGUUCAAUAGUGAAAGACGGUUUUGCUGUCACUUAUAGAUGGAUCCGCGCCGCAUUAGCUAGUUGGUAAGGUAACGGCUUACCAAGGCAACGAUGCGUAGCCGACCUGAGAGGGUGAUCGGCCACACUGGAACGGAGACACGGUCCAGACGCCUACGGGAGGCAGCAGUAGGGAAUCUUCCGCAAUGGGCGAAAGCCUGACGGAGCAACGCCGCGUGAGUGAUGAAGGUCUUCGGAUCGUAAAACUCUGUUAUUAGGGAAGAACAAAUGUGUAAGUAACUAUGCACGUCUUGACGGUACCUAAUCAGAAAGCCACGGCUAACUACGUG